GGGCUCGUGGUCCAGUGGUAUGACACUCUCGCAUCGGCCGGUAACACUCAGGUGACUCGUAAACCUCCAGGAGAUGGGAGGAAGCUCAGUGGGGCCCGGGGCUAACAACACCUUUGUGAGAGGAGACCGAAAUAGCAGAGAGAGACCUGAGUUCGAAUCUCAGCUAGCCCA
This is a non-coding RNA of Parastagonospora nodorum SN15, 171 nucleotides long. The record is from the annotation of a RefSeq genome assembly. NCBI's taxonomy places the organism in Eukaryota, Fungi, Ascomycota, Dothideomycetes, Pleosporales, Phaeosphaeriaceae.